GCGGCGGACGGGUGAGUAAUACAUAGGUAAUCUACCUUCGAGCUUGGGAUAACCCCGCGAAAGUGGGGCUAAUACCGGAUAAGACCACGUAAUUAUUUUACGGGGUAAAAGGUGGCUUAUUUUUUAAAUGAGCUAUCACUUGAGGAUGAGCCUGUGGCCUAUCAGCUAGUUGGCGGGGUAAGAGCCCACCAAGGCUAUGACGGGUAGCUGGUCUGAGAGGACGACCAGCCACACUGGGACUGAGACACGGCCCAGACUCCUACGGGAGGCAGCAGUGGGGAAUAUUGGGCAAUGGGCGAAAGCCUGACCCAGCGACGCCGCGUGGGCGAUGAAGGCCUUCGGGUUGUAAAGCCCUGUCAUGCGGAAAGAACGACCCUGUGACGCAUACUCACAGGGAGUGACGGUACCGCAGGAGGAAGCACCGGCUAACUCCGUGCCAGCAGCCGCGGUAAUACGGAGGGUGCAAGCGUUGUUCGGAAUUAUUGGGCGUAAAGGGCGCGUAGGCGGUAAUGCAAGUCAGAUGUGAAAUACUCCGGCUCAACUGGGGAACUGCAUCUGAAACUGCAUAACUAGAGUACAGAAGAGGAAAACGGAAUUCCCGGUGUAGAGGUGAAA
Molecule: ribosomal RNA, 615 nt
Filed under: uncultured bacterium
Lineage: Bacteria
Description: bacterial SSU rRNA
Rfam family: Bacterial small subunit ribosomal RNA
Source: RNAcentral